GAGUCUCUCGGAUGAUAGGAUGCCCAUCUCCAAACCUGUCCACUCUCCGGAUCUAAUCGAUCACCAUAGCAGAAUCUUUCUCAAGACACACUCGCAUAGCACCAAGUACCCGCCUCGCAUAGUAUAUGCCUUCUCAGGCUGCCCAAAGCUCCACCCGAACCACAGUAAGUCCAGGCAUACGCUGGCCACCAACUGCUAUCAGUCUGCCUAGGUGAUCUCUAAUCACAAAUUUCACUCCUCCAGAUGCACCAUCCACCGACCUGCUACCGUUGAAGUUUACUUUGAGAUGACCAAAGGAUGGGGGAACUCAAUGAACUAGGAUAAACCUGGGCGCUAUGACAGUGGCAAGAGUAUCCCAAAUGUCCCUAGCCAUCUCGAAAGAGGAUAAAGCACGGCAGUGGUGACCUCCCUCGCAUGAACCAUAGGUCUGUCCACC
RNAcentral lists this long non-coding RNA (436 nucleotides) under Phoenix dactylifera (date palm). RNAcentral's name for it is "long non-coding RNA (PDAC_LNC018619)". Lineage: Eukaryota; Viridiplantae; Streptophyta; Magnoliopsida; Arecales; Arecaceae. The record is from RNAcentral.